Molecule: ribosomal RNA, 622 nt
Filed under: uncultured Bacteroidota bacterium
Lineage: Bacteria; Pseudomonadati; Bacteroidota
Description: bacterial SSU rRNA
Rfam family: Bacterial small subunit ribosomal RNA
Source: RNAcentral
AGCCUGAACUCAAAAGGAAUUGACGGGGGGCCCGCACAAGCGGUGGAGCAUGUGGUUUAAUUCGAUGAUACGCGAGGACCUUACCAAGGCUUAAAUGUAGAUUGACCGAUUUGGAAACAGAUCUUUCGCAAGACAAUUUACAAGGUGCUGCAUGGUUGUCGUCAGCUCGUGCCGUGAGGUGUCAGGUUAAGUCCUAUAACGAGCGCAACCCCUGUUGUUAGUUGCCAGCGAGUCAUGUCGGGAACUCUAACGAGACUGCCAGGGCAAACUGUGAGGAAGGUGGGGAUGACGUCAAAUCAUCACGGCCCUUACGCCUUGGGCUACACACGUGCUACGAUGGCCGGUACAGAGAGCAGCCACCUCGCGAGGGGGAGCGAAUCUAUAAAACCGGUCACAGUUCGGAUCGGAGUCUGCAACUCAACUCCGUGAAGCUGGAAUCGCUAGUAAUCGGAUAUCAGCCAUGAUCCGGUGAAUACGUUCCCGGGCCUUGUACACACCGCCCGUCAAGCCAUGGAAGCUGGGGGUGCCUGAAGUCGGUGACCGCAAGGAGCUGCCUAGGGUAAAACUGGUAACUAGGGCUAAGUCGUAACAAGGUAACAAGUCGUAGAGUUUGAUCAUGGCU